This 160-nucleotide small nuclear RNA is filed under the name Nannospalax galili (Upper Galilee mountains blind mole rat). RNAcentral describes it as "U1 spliceosomal RNA (ENSNGAG00000005273.1)". It matches the Rfam family "U1 spliceosomal RNA". Rfam says of the family: U1 is a small nuclear RNA (snRNA) component of the spliceosome (involved in pre-mRNA splicing). Lineage: Eukaryota; Metazoa; Chordata; Mammalia; Rodentia; Spalacidae. The record is from RNAcentral.
ACAUUUCUCCGGCAGGAGAGAUACAACUAUCACAAAGGUAGUAUUCUGAGGGGAAGAUUUAUCCUUUGCACUCUGGCUAUGCUGACCCCUGCAAGUUCCCAAAUGUGGGAAACUCAACCACAUAAUUUGUCAUAGUGAAGGACUGUGUUCCCUCUCUCCA